GCGAAAGUGGCGGAAUUGGUAGACGCACUGGAUUUAGGUUCCAGCGCCGCAAGGCGUGAGAGUUCGAAUCUCUCCUUUCGCACCA
RNAcentral lists this transfer RNA (85 nucleotides) under Halothiobacillus sp. RNAcentral's name for it is "tRNA-Leu". It matches the Rfam family "tRNA". Rfam says of the family: Transfer RNA (tRNA) molecules are approximately 80 nucleotides in length. Their secondary structure includes four short double-helical elements and three loops (D, anti-codon, and T loops). The record is from RNAcentral. Lineage: Bacteria; Pseudomonadati; Pseudomonadota; Gammaproteobacteria; Chromatiales; Halothiobacillaceae.